GACGAACGCUGGCGGCGUGCUUAACACAUGCAAGUCGAACGGAAAGGCCCUGCUUUUGUGGGGUGCUCGAGUGGCGAACGGGUGAGUAACACGUGAGUAACCUGCCCUUGACUUUGGGAUAACUUCAGGAAACUGGGGCUAAUACCGGAUAGGAGCUCCUGCUGCAUGGUGGGGGUUGGAAAGUUUCGGCGGUUGGGGAUGGACUCGCGGCUUAUCAGCUUGUUGGUGGGGUAGUGGCUUACCAAGGCUUUGACGGGUAGCCGGCCUGAGAGGGUGACCGGCCACAUUGGGACUGAGAUACGGCCCAGACUCCUACGGGAGGCAGCAGUGGGGAAUAUUGCACAAUGGGCGGAAGCCUGAUGCAGCAACGCCGCGUGCGGGAUGACGGCCUUCGGUUGGUAAACCGCUUUCGCCGGUGACGAAGCGUGAGUGACGGUAAUGGGUAAAGAAGCACCGGCUAACUACGUG
RNAcentral lists this ribosomal RNA (468 nucleotides) under uncultured bacterium. Its description in RNAcentral is "partial 16S ribosomal RNA". It matches the Rfam family "Bacterial small subunit ribosomal RNA", at positions 28 to 507 of the family's 1533-position model. The record is from RNAcentral.